This 1609-nucleotide long non-coding RNA is filed under the name Sus scrofa (pig). RNAcentral describes it as "lncRNA (ENSSSCG00005002472.1)". Lineage: Eukaryota; Metazoa; Chordata; Mammalia; Artiodactyla; Suidae. The record is from RNAcentral.
GACAGCUGGGGACCCUGAGCCAUCAUGCGCGUUGGCAAGGGGACUGAGAGCGGAUAUCCCAAUGCGGUUUUGCUCAAAUAUGGGUCGAGAUGCACCAGCGUGUGGACACCUUCCUGCAAAAUCUCUUUGAGGACAACAUGCAGGUGGCUGGGCAUCACCCACUCCUGUCCCCUCCUGGCUGGGGCAAGGACGGACUCAGUGAGGAGCUGCUUGGAGCUUUCGAUACUCAGCUGGAGAACGACGACGACUCGGUGGAGUUAGCCCUGAUGAAGCUGGAGGACGGACUCAGUGAGGACCUGCUUGGAGCUUUCGAUGCUCAGCUGGAGAACGACGACUCGGUGAGUUUGAGCUGCUGUCUCAGACCCUCCCCCCUCCCCAUUGUGUUGGUGCUGCCACGUGCGGACAGAGCUCCCCUGCGUCCUGGAGCCCUGCCCUCAAUUCCAUGACGCUGCACCCAGGCGGGCCUGCUGCUGGGCUCGGAGGUCAGGUGGGCGACAGGCAGGUAUACCCCACCUUCGUGGUUUAUGACUUGGAGGGGAACUGAGCGGCCAGGCCCAGCCCCUGGGAAAAGUCCUGGGGUCUGUGGGGCUGUUGGCAGGAAAGCAGCCUGUGUCCAAGGCGGGGCAUGAGGGGGGUGUCUGCCACCAGGACUCUCCCAAAGGCAGGGCCUCAGCCAAGGUCAGGACUGGGGCUGCCUCUCCCCAGGCGGGUCCCUGAACCACCCCCCAUCCCUGCAGAAUCCAGUCCUCUGCUCAACGAAGUCCGGCAGGGAGUCCGUUCUAGAGUCCGAAGGCCUCCUGGCCACAACCAGCCACAUUAUGCGCUAGCGGUCCGGGAGCCCAGGCAGAGCACUUUCAGACGCAUCCUUGAGCUGUUUGAGGAAAUGCUGAAGCGCCUGCAGCAGAGGUGGAGGGGUGCCCUGGCUUGGGUGCAGGAAAGGGCUGCUGCCUGCUUCCGGGGCUUGUGCAGGGCCCUUGAAGCUUUCUGGAGCCUGGUGCAGAGUUUUUGCUCCUCCAUGGGGCACGCCUUCGGGAGUGUCAUCCAGGUCUAAGGUGCUCCAGCAGCUGGGGAGUUCCCGUCGUGGCGCAGUGGUUAACGAAUCCGACUAGGAACNNNNNNNNNNNNNNNNNNNNNNNNNNNNNNNNNNNNNNNNNNNNNNNNNNNNNNNNNNNNNNNNNNNNNNNNNNNNNNUGAACUGUGGUGUAGGUUGCAGACUCGGCUUGGACCUGGCAUUGCUGUGGCUCUGGUGUAGGCCAGCAGCUGUAGCUUUGAUUAGACCCUUAGCCUGGGAACUUCCAUAUACCACAAAAAAAAAAAAAAAAAAAAAAAAAAAAAAAAAAAAAAGUAGCAGCUGGGUGCCCUCUGCCCAAGCCAGCAGCCCUGCUAAUGGUGUACCCAGCAUUUCUUAUCCGUUCCGCUUCUGUCACCUCACUUGCUCAGACAGGGAGGAAUACUGUGCUGGGGGAAGGGGGAAGGUCCGGGAUGCUUACCUGGAAAGAUAAGACCUUGACAUGUGUAAAAGCUGCCGAGAACAAAGACCUGGUACUCAGACUCUGGAGGUGGCUCCUCCGAGCCUGCACCGGUGCUGAAUAAAGCUUGCCUUUCCAUA